GACGAACGCUGGCGGCGUGCUUAACACAUGCAAGUCGAACGGAAAGGCCCUGCUUUUGCGGGGUGCUCGAGUGGCGAACGGGUGAGUAACACGUGAGUAACCUGCCCUUGACUUUGGGAUAACUUCAGGAAACUGGGGCUAAUACCGGAUAGGAGCUCCUGCUGCAUGGUGGGGGUUGGAAAGUUUCGGCGGUUGGGGAUGGACUCGCGGCUUAUCAGCUUGUUGGUGGGGUAGUGGCUUACCAAGGCUUUGACGGGUAGCCGGCCUGAGAGGGUGACCGGCCACAUUGGGACUGAGAUACGGCCCAGACUCCUACGGGAGGCAGCAGUGGGGAAUAUUGCACAAUGGGCGGAAGCCUGAUGCAGCAACGCCGCGUGCGGGAUGACGGCCUUCGGGUUGUAAACCGCUUUCGCCUGUGACGAAGCGUGAGUGACGGUAAUGGGUAAAGAAGCACCGGCUAACUACGUGCCAGCAGCCGCGGUGAUACGUAGGGUGCGAGCGUUGUCCGGAUUUAUUGGGCGUAAAGGGCUCGUAGGUGGUUGAUCGCGUCGGAAGUGUAAUCUUGGGGCUUAACCCUGAGCGUGCUUUCGAUACGGGUUGACUUGAGGAAGGUAGGGGAGAAUGGAAUUCCUGGUGGAGCGGUGGAAUGCGCAGAUAUCAGGAGGAACACCAGUGGCGAAGGCGGUUCUCUGGGCCUUUCCUGACGCAGAGGAGCGAAAGCGUGGGGAGCGAACAGGCUUAGAUACCCUGGUAGUCCACGCUGUAAACGGUGGGUACUAGGUGUGGGGUCCAUUCCACGGGUUCCGUGCCGUAGCUAACGCUUUAAGUACCCCGCCUGGGGAGUACGGCCGCAAGGCUAAAACUCAAAGGAAUUGACGGGGCCCCGCACAAGCGGCGGAGCAUGCGGAUUAAUUCGAUGCAACGCGUAGAACCUUACCUGGGUUUGACAUGGAUCGGGAGCGCCCAGAGAUGGGUGUGCCUCUUUUGGGGUCGGUUCACAGGUGGUGCAUGGCUGUCGUCAGCUCGUGUCGUGAGAUGUUGGGUUAAGUCCCGCAACGAGCGCAACCCUUGUUCACUGUUGCCAGCACGUUAUGGUGGGGACUCAGUGGAGACCGCCGGGGUCAACUCGGAGGAAGGUGGGGAUGACGUCAAGUCAUCAUGCCCCUUAUGUCCAGGGCUUCACGCAUGCUACAAUGGCUGGUACAGAGAGUGGCGAGCCUGUGAGGGUGAGCGAAUCUCGGAAAGCCGGUCUCAGUUCGGAUUGGGGUCUGCAACUCGACCUCAUGAAGUCGGAGUCGCUAGUAAUCGCAGAUCAGCAACGCUGCGGUGAAUACAUUCCCGGGGCU
RNAcentral lists this ribosomal RNA (1346 nucleotides) under uncultured bacterium. Its description in RNAcentral is "bacterial SSU rRNA". It matches the Rfam family "Bacterial small subunit ribosomal RNA", at positions 28 to 1381 of the family's 1533-position model. The record is from RNAcentral.